Molecule: small nucleolar RNA, 97 nt
Organism: Malus domestica (apple)
Lineage: Eukaryota; Viridiplantae; Streptophyta; Magnoliopsida; Rosales; Rosaceae
Product: small nucleolar RNA R24
Source: RefSeq, a predicted model, not a curated record
UAUGCAGUGAUGACUGAUGAGUCUUAGCAUGUAACAUGGAACAUUUAUAAUGAUUUCUUCUACGAAAUAUUCUUGUUUCGCUCGUUUUUUGAGCAUG